Molecule: ribosomal RNA, 253 nt
Filed under: uncultured bacterium
Lineage: Bacteria
Description: partial 16S ribosomal RNA
Rfam family: Bacterial small subunit ribosomal RNA
Source: RNAcentral
UACGUAGGGGGCAAGCGUUGUCCGGAUUUAUUGGGUUUAAAGGGUGCGUAGGCGGUUCUGUAAGUCAGCGGUGAAAGACUAGAGCUUAACUCUGGAAUUGCCAUUGAUACUGUAGGGCUUGAGUAUAGUUGCUGUGGGCGGAAUAUGACAUGUAGUGGUGAAAUACUUAGAGAUGUCAUAGAACACCGAUUGCGAAGGCAGCUCACAAAACUAUAACUGACACUGAGGCUCGAAAGUGCGGGGAUCAAACAGG